GACGAACGCUGGCGGCGUGCUUAACACAUGCAAGUCGAACGGAAAGGCCCUGCUUGCAGGGUACUCGAGUUGCGAACGGGUGAGUAACACGUGGGUGAUCUGCCCUGCACUUCGGGAUAAGCCUGGGAAACUGGGUCUAAUACCGGAUAGGAGCCAUUUUUAGUGUGAUGGUUGGAAAGUUUUUUCGGUGUAGGAUGAGCUCGCGGCCUAUCAGCUUGUUGGUGGGGUAAUGGCCUACCAAGGCGGCGACGGGUAGCCGGCCUGAGAGGGUGGACGGCCACAUUGGGACUGAGAUACGGCCCAGACUCCUACGGGAGGCAGCGGUGGGGAAUAUUGCACAAUGGGCGCAAGCCUGAUGCAGCGACGCCGCGUGGGGGAUGACGGCCUUCGGGUUGUAAACUCCUUUCGCUAGGGACGAAGCUUUUUGUGACGGUACCUAGAUAAGAAGCACCGGCUAACUACGUG
This 465-nucleotide ribosomal RNA is filed under the name uncultured bacterium. Its description in RNAcentral is "partial 16S ribosomal RNA". It matches the Rfam family "Bacterial small subunit ribosomal RNA", at positions 28 to 507 of the family's 1533-position model. The record is from RNAcentral.